Molecule: long non-coding RNA, 154 nt
Organism: Juglans microcarpa x Juglans regia
Lineage: Eukaryota; Viridiplantae; Streptophyta; Magnoliopsida; Fagales; Juglandaceae
Exons: 3
Source: RefSeq, a predicted model, not a curated record
ACUUAACAUAACAUAAAUGAGCAUUGGAAUUUAAUAAGUGAUGUUCAAUUAUCACUUACGAAUAUACUGCAUAUAUGACUUUAUGCAUUGAAUAACAUCAACUAUCACAUAUACAUUGACAAAUGAAGUUUCCAAUUUAGCUUGCAACAAGUUU